CCCCGGAGUGACAAUAACCGGAACCACUCCCGGUGAUGACCAUAGUUUGAGGAGUUCAUGUGUUCACCAAGUGCUAAUGUGUUGGUCCGGUUCUUUAUUAAAGGAGAACCUUAAUAUCCCGUAAUUUCUUUUGGACCCGCUGCCACGGGAGGAAUGGACAAUAGAUGUCAUGCAAGUUCUUUUCCCUAAGCACGUAUGACGACACACGGAAUGCAUGCCUACAUCACAUUGACGAACGGGAGCUAGCCACAUAUCUAUCCGUGUUAUGACUGUUGCUUGAUGAAUAUCAUCCAAACAAAUCACCGACCCAUUGCCUACGAGUUUGACCCACUGUUGCUAUUGCUUGUUUUGCUCUGCUGUUGUUACUUGUUUUGCUCUGCUGCUGUUACUACUAUUGCUACUUGCUACUGCUGUCACUACUGCUGUUCCUUGUCAC
This 436-nucleotide long non-coding RNA is filed under the name Hordeum vulgare. RNAcentral's name for it is "long non-coding RNA (HVUL_LNC000480)". The record is from RNAcentral. Lineage: Eukaryota; Viridiplantae; Streptophyta; Magnoliopsida; Poales; Poaceae.